Molecule: ribosomal RNA, 2923 nt
Filed under: Klebsiella pneumoniae
Lineage: Bacteria; Pseudomonadati; Pseudomonadota; Gammaproteobacteria; Enterobacterales; Enterobacteriaceae
Also listed under: 1 other name
Description: 23S ribosomal RNA
Rfam family: Bacterial large subunit ribosomal RNA
Source: RNAcentral
GGGUUGUGAGGUUAAGCGACUAAGCGUACACGGUGGAUGCCCUGGCAGUCAGAGGCGAUGAAGGACGUGCUAAUCUGCGAAAAGCGUCGGUAAGGUGAUAUGAACCGUUAUAGCCGGCGAUGUCCGAAUGGGGAAACCCAGUGCAAUUCGUUGCACUAUCGUUAACUGAAUACAUAGGUUAACGAGGCGAACCGGGGGAACUGAAACAUCUAAGUACCCCGAGGAAAAGAAAUCAACCGAGAUUCCCCCAGUAGCGGCGAGCGAACGGGGAGCAGCCCAGAGUCUGAAUCAGCUUGUGUGUUAGUGGAACGGUCUGGAAAGUCCGACGGUACAGGGUGAUAGUCCCGUACACCAAAAUGCACAGGUUGUGAACUCGAAGAGUAGGGCGGGACACGUGGUAUCCUGUCUGAAUAUGGGGGGACCAUCCUCCAAGGCUAAAUACUCCUGACUGACCGAUAGUGAACCAGUACCGUGAGGGAAAGGCGAAAAGAACCCCGGCGAGGGGAGUGAAAAAGAACCUGAAACCGUGUACGUACAAGCAGUGGGAGCACCUUCGGGUGUGACUGCGUACCUUUUGUAUAAUGGGUCAGCGACUUAUAUUCUGUAGCAAGGUUAACCGUAUAGGGGAGCCGCAGGGAAACCGAGUCUUAACUGGGCGUUAAGUUGCAGGGUAUAGACCCGAAACCCGGUGAUCUAGCCAUGGGCAGGUUGAAGGUUGGGUAACACUAACUGGAGGACCGAACCGACUAAUGUUGAAAAAUUAGCGGAUGACUUGUGGCUGGGGGUGAAAGGCCAAUCAAACCGGGAGAUAGCUGGUUCUCCCCGAAAGCUAUUUAGGUAGCGCCUCGUGAACUCAUCUUCGGGGGUAGAGCACUGUUUCGGCUAGGGGGUCAUCCCGACUUACCAACCCGAUGCAAACUACGAAUACCGAAGAAUGUUAUCACGGGAGACACACGGCGGGUGCUAACGUCCGUCGUGAAGAGGGAAACAACCCAGACCGCCAGCUAAGGUCCCAAAGUCAUGGUUAAGUGGGAAACGAUGUGGGAAGGCACAGACAGCCAGGAUGUUGGCUUAGAAGCAGCCAUCAUUUAAAGAAAGCGUAAUAGCUCACUGGUCGAGUCGGCCUGCGCGGAAGAUGUAACGGGGCUAAACCAUGCACCGAAGCUGCGGCAGCGACACUAUGUGUUGUUGGGUAGGGGAGCGUUCUGUAAGCCUGCGAAGGUGACCUGUGAGGGUUGCUGGAGGUAUCAGAAGUGCGAAUGCUGACAUAAGUAACGAUAAAGCGGGUGAAAAGCCCGCUCGCCGGAAGACCAAGGGUUCCUGUCCAACGUUAAUCGGGGCAGGGUGAGUCGACCCCUAAGGCGAGGCCGAAAGGCGUAGUCGAUGGGAAACAGGUUAAUAUUCCUGUACUUGGUGUUACUGCGAAGGGGGGACGGAGAAGGCUAUGUUAGCCGGGCGACGGUUGUCCCGGUUUAAGCAUGUAGGCUGGUUGUCCAGGCAAAUCCGGAUAAUCAAGGCUGAGGUGUGAUGACGAGGCACUACGGUGCUGAAGUAACAAAUGCCCUGCUUCCAGGAAAAGCCUCUAAGCAUCAGGUAACAUCAAAUCGUACCCCAAACCGACACAGGUGGUCAGGUAGAGAAUACCAAGGCGCUUGAGAGAACUCGGGUGAAGGAACUAGGCAAAAUGGUGCCGUAACUUCGGGAGAAGGCACGCUGGUGUGUAGGUGAAGUCCCUGCGGAUGGAGCUGAGACCAGUCGAAGAUACCAGCUGGCUGCAACUGUUUAUUAAAAACACAGCACUGUGCAAACACGAAAGUGGACGUAUACGGUGUGACGCCUGCCCGGUGCCGGAAGGUUAAUUGAUGGGGUUAUCCGUAAGGAGAAGCUCUUGAUCGAAGCCCCGGUAAACGGCGGCCGUAACUAUAACGGUCCUAAGGUAGCGAAAUUCCUUGUCGGGUAAGUUCCGACCUGCACGAAUGGCGUAAUGAUGGCCAGGCUGUCUCCACCCGAGACUCAGUGAAAUUGAACUCGCUGUGAAGAUGCAGUGUACCCGCGGCAAGACGGAAAGACCCCGUGAACCUUUACUAUAGCUUGACACUGAACAUUGAGCCUUGAUGUGUAGGAUAGGUGGGAGGCUUUGAAGCGUGGACGCCAGUCUGCGUGGAGCCAACCUUGAAAUACCACCCUUUAAUGUUUGAUGUUCUAACGUUGGCCCCUUACCGGGGUUGCGGACAGUGUCUGGUGGGUAGUUUGACUGGGGCGGUCUCCUCCCAAAGCGUAACGGAGGAGCACGAAGGUUAGCUAAUCCUGGUCGGACAUCAGGAGGUUAGUGCAAUGGCAUAAGCUAGCUUGACUGCGAGCGUGACGGCGCGAGCAGGUGCGAAAGCAGGUCAUAGUGAUCCGGUGGUUCUGAAUGGAAGGGCCAUCGCUCAACGGAUAAAAGGUACUCCGGGGAUAACAGGCUGAUACCGCCCAAGAGUUCAUAUCGACGGCGGUGUUUGGCACCUCGAUGUCGGCUCAUCACAUCCUGGGGCUGAAGUAGGUCCCAAGGGUAUGGCUGUUCGCCAUUUAAAGUGGUACGCGAGCUGGGUUUAGAACGUCGUGAGACAGUUCGGUCCCUAUCUGCCGUGGGCGCUGGAGAAUUGAGGGGGGCUGCUCCUAGUACGAGAGGACCGGAGUGGACGCAUCACUGGUGUUCGGGUUGUCAUGCCAAUGGCACUGCCCGGUAGCUAAAUGCGGAAGAGAUAAGUGCUGAAAGCAUCUAAGCACGAAACUUGCCCCGAGAUGAGUUCUCCCUGAGACUUUAAGUCUCCUGAAGGAACGUUAAAGACGAUGACGUUGAUAGGCCGGGUGUGUAAGCGCAGCGAUGCGUUGAGCUAACCGGUACUAAUGAACCGUGAGGCUUAACCUUACAACGCCGAAG